This 460-nucleotide ribosomal RNA is filed under the name uncultured bacterium. RNAcentral's name for it is "partial 16S ribosomal RNA". It matches the Rfam family "Bacterial small subunit ribosomal RNA", at positions 338 to 795 of the family's 1533-position model. The record is from RNAcentral.
CCUACGGGAGGCUGCAGUGAGGAAUAUUGGUCAAUGGACGAGAGUCUGAACCAGCCAAGUAGCGUGAAGGAUGACUGCCCUAUGGGUUGUAAACUUCUUUUAUAUGGGAAUAAAACGUUCCACGUGUGGGAUUUUGUAUGUACCAUAUGAAUAAGGAUCGGCUAACUCCGUGCCAGCAGCCGCGGUAAUACGGAGGAUCCGAGCGUUAUCCGGAUUUAUUGGGUUUAAAGGGAGCGUAGGUGGAUUGUUAAGUCAGUUGUGAAAGUUUGCGGGUCAACCGUAAAAUUGCAGUUGAAACUGGCAGUCUUGAGUACAGUAGAGGUGGGCGGAAUUCGUGGUGUAGCGGUGAAAUGCUUAGAUAUCACGAAGAACUCCGAUUGCGAAGGCAGUUCACUGGACUGCAACUGACACUGAGGCUCGAAAGUGUGGGUAUCAAACAGGAUUAGAUACCCCUGUAGUC